UACGUAGGGUGCAAGCGUUGUCCGGAAUUAUUGGGCGUAAAGAGCUCGUAGGCGGUUUGUCGCGUCGGCUGUGAAAACCUGGGGCUCAACCCCGGCCUGCAGCCGAUACGGGCAAACUAGAAUUCGGUAGGGGAGACUGGAAUUCCUGGUGUAGCGGUGAAAUGCGCAGAUAUCAGGAGGAACACCGGUGGCGAAGGCGGGUCUCUGGGCCGAUAUUGACGCUGAGGAGCGAAAGCAUGGUGAGCGAACAGG
RNAcentral lists this ribosomal RNA (252 nucleotides) under uncultured bacterium. RNAcentral's name for it is "partial 16S ribosomal RNA". It matches the Rfam family "Bacterial small subunit ribosomal RNA", at positions 524 to 776 of the family's 1533-position model. The record is from RNAcentral.